GGAGGCAGGAGUGGGGAAUUUUUCGGGAGGGGGGGGAGGCUGAUUUUGCCAUGCCGGGUGAAGGAUGAAGGACCUAGGGGUGGUGAGCCCUUUUGGCCGGGGAGAAAAAAACGGUAUCCGGAGAGGAAGCACCGGCUAACUCUGUGCCCGCGCCCGCGAUAAUA
RNAcentral lists this ribosomal RNA (164 nucleotides) under uncultured bacterium. Its description in RNAcentral is "partial 16S ribosomal RNA". The record is from RNAcentral. RNAcentral also lists the same sequence under 1 other name.